Molecule: ribosomal RNA, 650 nt
Filed under: uncultured bacterium
Lineage: Bacteria
Description: bacterial SSU rRNA
Rfam family: Bacterial small subunit ribosomal RNA
Source: RNAcentral
GCUCAGAACGAACGCUGGCGGCAGGCUUAACACAUGCAAGUCGAACGCCCUCGCAAGGGGGAGUGGCAGACGGGUGAGUAACACGUGGGAACAUACCCUUCGGUUCGGAACAACGCCGGGAAACUGGCGCUAAUACCGGAUACGCCCUUUUGGGGAAAGGCUUGCCGCCGAAGGAGUGGCCCGCGUUCGAUUAGCUUGAUGGCGGGGUAACGGCCCACCAUGGCGACGAUCGAUAGCUGGUCUGAGAGGAUGGCCAGCCACAUUGGGACUGAGACACGGCCCAAACUCCUACGGGAGGCAGCAGUGGGGAAUAUUGGACAAUGGGCGCAAGCCUGAUCCAGCCAUGCCGCGUGAGUGAUGACGGCCUUAGGGUUGUAAAGCUCUUUCGCACGCGACGAUAAUGACGGUAGCGUGAGAAGAAGCCCCGGCUAACUUCGUGCCAGCAGCCGCGGUAAUACGAAGGGGGCUAGCGUUGUUCGGAAUCACUGGGCGUAAAGGGUGCGCAGGCGGGUUCAUAAGUCAGGGGUGAAAUCCCGAGGCUCAACCUCGGAACUGCCUUUGAUACUGUGGAUCUUGAGUCCGGAAGAGGUGAGUGGAACUGCGAGUGUAGAGGUGAAAUUCGUAGAUAUUCGCAAGAACACCGGUGGCGA